This 293-nucleotide ribosomal RNA is filed under the name uncultured bacterium. RNAcentral describes it as "partial 16S ribosomal RNA". It matches the Rfam family "Bacterial small subunit ribosomal RNA", at positions 505 to 796 of the family's 1533-position model. The record is from RNAcentral.
GUGUCAGCCGCCGCGGUAAUACGAAGGGGGCUAGCGUUGUUCGGAAUUAUUGGGCGUAAAGGGCGCGUAGGCGGAAUGGCAAGUCUGGCGUGAAAUCUCCACCGCUCACCGGGGAGGGGCCGUUGGAUACUACCAUUCUGGAGUUCGGUAGAGGACCAUGGAAUUUCUGGUGUAACGGUGGAAUGCGUAGAUAUCAGAAGGAACACCUGUGGCGAAGGCGGUGGUCUGGGCCGAAACUGACGCUGAGGCGCGAAAGCUGGGGGAGCGAACGGGAUUAGAUACCCCGGUAGUCC